This 407-nucleotide ribosomal RNA is filed under the name uncultured bacterium. RNAcentral's name for it is "partial 16S ribosomal RNA". It matches the Rfam family "Bacterial small subunit ribosomal RNA", at positions 30 to 526 of the family's 1533-position model. The record is from RNAcentral.
AUUGAACGCUGGCGGCAGGCCUAACACAUGCAAGUCGAGCGGAGCGGCGGACGGGUGAGUAAUGCCUAGGCAUCUGCCUGGUAGUGGGGGAUAACGUCCGGAAACGGGCGCUAAUACCGCAUACUAUCAGAUAAGCCUCGGUCGGAUUAGCUCGUUUGUGGGUUAAAGGCCUACCAAGGCGACGAUCCGUAACUGGUCUGAGAGGAUGAUCAGUCACACUGGAAAUGAGACACGGUCCAGACUCCGUCGGGAGGCAGCAGUGGGGAAUAUUUGACAAUGGGCGAAAGCCUGAUCCAGCCAUGCCGCGUGUGUGAAGAAGGUCUUCGGAUUGUAAAUCACUUAAAGUUGGGAGGCGUUACGAACAGAAUAAGCACCGGCUAACUUCGUGCCAGCAGCAGCGGUAAUAG